Molecule: ribosomal RNA, 430 nt
Filed under: uncultured bacterium
Lineage: Bacteria
Description: bacterial SSU rRNA
Rfam family: Bacterial small subunit ribosomal RNA
Source: RNAcentral
AUUGAACGCUGGCGGAAUGCUUUACACAUGCAAGUCGAGCGGCAGCGCGGGGCAACCUGGCGGCGAGCGGCGAACGGGUGAGUAAUACAUCGGAACGUACCCAGUUGUGGGGGAUAGCCCGGCGAAAGCCGGAUUAAUACCGCAUACGAUCUGAGGGUGAAAGGGGGGGAUCGCAAGACCUCUCGCAGUUGGAGCGGCCGAUGGCGGAUUAGCUAGUUGGUAGGGUAAAGGCCUACCAAGGCGACGAUCCGUAGCUGGUCUGAGAGGACGACCAGCCACACUGGAACUGAGACACGGUCCAGACUCCUACGGGAGGCAGCAGUGGGGAAUUUUGGACAAUGGGGGGCAACCCUGAUCCAGCCAUUCCGCGUGAGUGAAGAAGGCCUCGGUUGUAAAGCUCUUCGUCAGGAACGAAACGGUAGGUCCGUAA